Long non-coding RNA from Alnus glutinosa, 885 nucleotides. RefSeq lists it as uncharacterized. The transcript has 3 exons. The record is from RefSeq and is a predicted model, not a curated record. NCBI's taxonomy places the organism in Eukaryota, Viridiplantae, Streptophyta, Magnoliopsida, Fagales, Betulaceae.
AUAAAUGUGAAAAAAAUGGAUUAAAUUAGUGAAAUUAAUGUGGCGCGUCCAGAUGGCUCAAAGGGCUGGUCCGAAUGGUACUUUAUCAACACGAGGCAGACGCCUCAUGGCUUAAUGCGUCCGGACGGCUUGCAACGAAUGGCACACGUCUACUUAAACGGCGCACGUUCGGACGAUGAUUCGUGCUCGUCCAGACGGUCUACUUAAAUGGCGCGUGUCCGGACGGUUUGUGAUGCCCGUUCGGAUGGGGUUCGAAUUAUAGAGGGCAGAGCGCCAUUUUCUUCUCGGCAGCUCCGUUUUCCUCUCAAAAUUCUCUCGGUUUUUCCACCUAAAACCGGGAUAUCUUGAAAUCCAGCCAUCCAAUCUUAGAUCCAACUUCGAUAACAUAAUCCUUGAAGCCCGAUCUACAUUUUGACCAAACGUUUUGAGAUAAAUCGUUAAACUCGCAUUUUUGGAGAUUUUUAAUAAAUCUUGUAGAAAUGAGUUUAACUCGGCGUUUUCUCUGGGUUUGGUGUGGUUUGGAGUUGCUAGGAGCUUCCCGAGCAUUUGGUCUUUGCUUGGUGAAUUUUUGCGGCACUUUACGGUUGAGUUUAGAAUCGUUUGGAUAUUGGGAGUACAAGAAAUCUGAGAUGAUAUUUCUGUGAUUGCAGGUACUCCUGAGACGGAUGAUGUUCUAGUAGCAUACUAUUUGGGUUACUACGAUUGAAGCUCGUAGCAACAGUCAUAGUGGGAUAGGACUAUGGUGUCCUUAUUUUGAGUACUUUUGUAUAUGGUUUGUGACGUGUGUGUCACUCAUUAUUUUGUAUAGGCCAUUCUUUUGUAAUAGUUAUGUGUAGUUAAACCUUAAACAGAAAAACUCGUGUUAUGGCUCACUUUGUAUAUAUA